AUUGAACGCUGGCGGCAGGCCUAACACAUGCCAGUCGAGCGGAUGAAGGGAGCUUGCUCCUGGAUUCAGCGGCGGACGGGUGAGUAAUGCCUAGGAAUCUGCCUGGUAGUGGGGGAUAACGUCCGGAAACGGGCGCUAAUACCGCAUACGUCCUGAGGGAGAAAGUGGGGGAUCUUCGGACCUCACGCUAUCAGAUGAGCCUAGGUCGGAUUAGCUAGUUGGUGGGGUAAAGGCCUACCAAGGCGACGAUCCGUAACUGGUCUGAGAGGAUGAUCAGUCACACUGGAACUGAGACACGGUCCAGACUCCUACAGGAGGCAGCAGUGGGGAAUAUUGGACAAUGGGCGAAAGCCUGAUCCAGCCAUGCCGCGUGUGUGAAGAAGGUCUUCGGAUUGUAAAGCACUUUAAGUUGGGAGGAAGGGCAGUAAGUUAAUACCUUGCUGUUUUGACGUUACCAACAGAAUAAGCACCGGCUAACUUCGUG
Molecule: ribosomal RNA, 484 nt
Filed under: uncultured bacterium
Lineage: Bacteria
Description: partial 16S ribosomal RNA
Rfam family: Bacterial small subunit ribosomal RNA
Source: RNAcentral